This 1033-nucleotide ribosomal RNA is filed under the name Lactiplantibacillus plantarum. RNAcentral describes it as "bacterial SSU rRNA". It matches the Rfam family "Bacterial small subunit ribosomal RNA", at positions 431 to 1455 of the family's 1533-position model. The record is from RNAcentral. Lineage: Bacteria; Bacillati; Bacillota; Bacilli; Lactobacillales; Lactobacillaceae.
CUCUGUUGUUAAAGAAGAACAUAUCUGAGAGUAACUGUUCAGGUAUUGACGGUAUUUAACCAGAAAGCCACGGCUAACUACGUGCCAGCAGCCGCGGUAAUACGUAGGUGGCAAGCGUUGUCCGGAUUUAUUGGGCGUAAAGCGAGCGCAGGCGGUUUUUUAAGUCUGAUGUGAAAGCCUUCGGCUCAACCGAAGAAGUGCAUCGGAAACUGGGAAACUUGAGUGCAGAAGAGGACAGUGGAACUCCAUGUGUAGCGGUGAAAUGCGUAGAUAUAUGGAAGAACACCAGUGGCGAAGGCGGCUGUCUGGUCUGUAACUGACGCUGAGGCUCGAAAGUAUGGGUAGCAAACAGGAUUAGAUACCCUGGUAGUCCAUACCGUAAACGAUGAAUGCUAAGUGUUGGAGGGUUUCCGCCCUUCAGUGCUGCAGCUAACGCAUUAAGCAUUCCGCCUGGGGAGUACGGCCGCAAGGCUGAAACUCAAAGGAAUUGACGGGGGCCCGCACAAGCGGUGGAGCAUGUGGUUUAAUUCGAAGCUACGCGAAGAACCUUACCAGGUCUUGACAUACUAUGCAAAUCUAAGAGAUUAGACGUUCCCUUCGGGGACAUGGAUACAGGUGGUGCAUGGUUGUCGUCAGCUCGUGUCGUGAGAUGUUGGGUUAAGUCCCGCAACGAGCGCAACCCUUAUUAUCAGUUGCCAGCAUUAAGUUGGGCACUCUGGUGAGACUGCCGGUGACAAACCGGAGGAAGGUGGGGAUGACGUCAAAUCAUCAUGCCCCUUAUGACCUGGGCUACACACGUGCUACAAUGGAUGGUACAACGAGUUGCGAACUCGCGAGAGUAAGCUAAUCUCUUAAAGCCAUUCUCAGUUCGGAUUGUAGGCUGCAACUCGCCUACAUGAAGUCGGAAUCGCUAGUAAUCGCGGAUCAGCAUGCCGCGGUGAAUACGUUCCCGGGCCUUGUACACACCGCCCGUCACACCAUGAGAGUUUGUAACACCCAAAGUCGGUGGGGUAACCUUUUAGGAACCCAGCCG